AAAAGCUGUGUGCAAUAAAAAAUGUAAGCACGGUUUGGGGAGGAAUUUUUUAUUGUUUUAUUAUUGAAUUUGAUUAAAGAAUAAAUUAUCUACUUCAU
This is a non-coding RNA of Glycine soja, 98 nucleotides long. Lineage: Eukaryota; Viridiplantae; Streptophyta; Magnoliopsida; Fabales; Fabaceae. The record is from Rfam.